AUGCGAUAAGUAAUGUGAAUUGCAGAAUUCCGUGAAUCAUCGAAUCUUUGAACGCACAUUGCGCCCGCCAGCACUCUGGCGGGCAUGCCUGUUCGAGCGUCAUUUCAACCCUCGGACCCCCUAGGCCUCGCGCCGCGGGGGACCGGUGUUGGGGCUCGGCCUCCCCCAGCGGGAUCCCGUCCCCUAAAUCCAGUGGCGGUCGCGACCCGGCAGCCCCGCGUAGUAGCACACCUCGCGGGACGCGCCGGCCGUGGCCACGCCGUAAAACCCCCAAAUUCUCAAGGUUGACCUCGGAUCAGGUAGGAAUACCCGCUGAACUUAA
Molecule: unclassified non-coding RNA, 322 nt
Filed under: uncultured Hypocreales
Lineage: Eukaryota; Fungi; Ascomycota; Sordariomycetes; Hypocreales
Description: partial contains 5.8S ribosomal RNA, internal transcribed spacer 2, and large subunit ribosomal RNA
Rfam family: 5.8S ribosomal RNA (bases 1-102)
Source: RNAcentral